RNAcentral lists this ribosomal RNA (332 nucleotides) under uncultured bacterium. Its description in RNAcentral is "bacterial SSU rRNA". It matches the Rfam family "Bacterial small subunit ribosomal RNA", at positions 144 to 507 of the family's 1533-position model. The record is from RNAcentral.
AAACCGUGGGAAACUACGGCUAAUACCGCAUGAUCCUGAGGGGCAAAGGCGAAAGUCGCCUGAGACGGAGCCUGCGUCUGAUUAGGUAGUUGGUCGGGGUAAAGGCCUACCCAAGGCGACGAUCAGUAGCUGGUCUGAGAGGAUGAUCAGCCACAUUGGGACUGAGACACGGCCCAAACUCCUACGGGAGGCAGCAGUGGGGAAUAUUGGACAAUGGGCGAAAGCCUGAUCCAGCAAUGCCGCGUGGGUGAAGAAGGUCUUCGGAUUGUAAAGCCCUUUUGGCGGGGACGAUGAUGACGGUACCCGCAGAAUAAGCUCCGGCUAACUUCGUG